Molecule: ribosomal RNA, 538 nt
Filed under: Salmonella enterica subsp. enterica serovar Minnesota
Lineage: Bacteria; Pseudomonadati; Pseudomonadota; Gammaproteobacteria; Enterobacterales; Enterobacteriaceae
Description: partial 23S ribosomal RNA
Rfam family: Bacterial large subunit ribosomal RNA
Source: RNAcentral
CUGUAAGCCUGUGAAGGUGGCCUGUGAGGGUUGCUGGAGGUAUCAGAAGUGCGAAUGCUGACAUAAGUAACGAUAAAGCGGGUGAAAAGCCCGCUCGCCGGAAGACCAAGGGUUCCUGUCCAACGUUAAUCGGGGCAGGGUGAGUCGACCCCUAAGGCGAGGCCGAAAGGCGUAGUCGAUGGGAAACGGGUUAAUAUUCCCGUACUUGGUGUUACUGCGAAGGGGGGACGGAGAAGGCUAUGUUGGCCGGGCGACGGUUGUCCCGGUUUAAGCGUGUAGGUGUGUGUUCCAGGUAAAUCCGGUUCACUUUAACACUGAGGCGUGACGACGAGGCACUACGGUGCUGAAGCAACAAAUGCCCUGCUUCCAGGAAAAGCCUCUAAGCAUCAGGUAACACGAAAUCGUACCCCAAACCGACACAGGUGGUCAGGUAGAGAAUACCAAGGCGCUUGAGAGAACUCGGGUGAAGGAACUAGGCAAAAUGGUGCCGUAACUUCGGGAGAAGGCACGCUGACACGUAGGUGAAGUGAUUUACUCA